GUGUGAUUUACUUAAAAUGGCCGCUGGGGAGCUACCCCUCUAACAUCGACUAACUACCUCAUGUAACAAGAUGGCGCUGGAAUCUGGGGGAGACCCUCAUGGUCCCAGUGAGAUCAACCCUUGUAGGCAGAGCAUUAGAAGGACCACUUAACACCUAACCAAUUAAUGAUGUAUUAUUUUAUGUUAUCUCUGACAAUGCAUAUGAUGUAAUUUUGCUUUAUAAGGGGCAUGCCAUCCCCUCAGAAUGUAUGUAGGGCACAACUGUAAAAAAUUUUUAUUUUGAAGUCCUGUGGGCGUGCUCUUCACUUUAAAUAUGUUAUUGUGCUGGAGUAUGCACCUAGCAACAAGAU
Molecule: non-coding RNA, 350 nt
Organism: Pelobates cultripes (western spadefoot toad)
Lineage: Eukaryota; Metazoa; Chordata; Amphibia; Anura; Pelobatidae
Source: the annotation of a GenBank genome assembly